CUUGUGUUUAUAUUACAUUCCAAAACUGCAAUCACAUAACUGUAUUUUCUAUCAUGUAUUACCCCUGUCUGGAUUUUGACCGGUCAACGUGCGGUAAUAGUACUACUAAUCCAAUAUGCUUACAUUUUAUGGACAGUUCGUACUGUAAAUAUGAGUACUGGAACUUAAAAUACAACAUCAAUAAAAUAAAUGAUAUGUUUAUACAAGGUCAACAACAUCAAGCCAAUGAAAAAAAAUAUCAAUCAAAAAAAUCUUCAUGUAAUGCAUAUUUUUGAUAAAAAAUAUCCUUUAUCAAUAUGAAUUUU
Molecule: long non-coding RNA, 305 nt
Filed under: Mytilus galloprovincialis (Mediterranean mussel)
Lineage: Eukaryota; Metazoa; Mollusca; Bivalvia; Mytilida; Mytilidae
Source: RNAcentral